GUGUUUGCCAUGUCUCCAACACGAUUCCACCAACUUUGGUUUCCAUUCCCUCCAUUUCUUAUGUCAGUAGGAGACUGACAGAAGCUGUCAGGAGGAGACUGGGGGUUGCUGGUUCCUUCUGCCCUAGGGACAAUGCUUCCCUCAACCCCUCAAAGCAGCAAGAUUUAUGCAAGCCUCCUGUGACAGCAGAGCUUCUGUCCCAUCAGUAGCCUUAUCAAAUCUGUCCUAUAGCC
This 233-nucleotide long non-coding RNA is filed under the name Homo sapiens (human). RNAcentral's name for it is "HSALNT0086635". Lineage: Eukaryota; Metazoa; Chordata; Mammalia; Primates; Hominidae. The record is from RNAcentral.